CCAACCAGGAAUAUUUAAUACAACCGUGAGCAAGUUACCAAGAUCUGAGCAGGCAGUCAUCCCCUAGAGGCGAGACCUUCUGCCUGCUGACAUCCGAUCUGGCUUUGAAGGCAGAGUGACCCCCUGGCCCUGCGAGGAAACGUACUGUGUUAUUCAUUUUCUAGCUGCAGAUCAGAAUGUAUCUCUACUACUUCUCCAGCAACAAACCUGCUAUGUCAGCAAUAUGCUGCUUAACAUGACAAUGGACUAAGGUUCUGAAAUUUACCACAUUGAAGAGGUAUGGAGACAGUGGACAACCUUACCUUGUUCCUGAUUUUAGUGAAAUUACAUUGAGUUUCUGCUACAAGCUGCAACAGUAAUUGCUCAGCCGUCUUCACAACUGAUUUAUCAGGACCAAGGGGUCUGGUAAAGGGUAAACCAAAAGGCAAGGCUUGUUGGCACUACUGCUUUGUGAAUAAAGUGGUUGUCCUUUGCUGUAGUUUUUUGCUGUAGCUAACUCCCUUUUUGUUACAUAUUUGGGAAUUAAUUCCUUAGUUCAGAAUAAUUUUCUACUGCCUAGCCAUGUCCCUCUCUCUUAAGUAAGCAAAGAGAUCUGACUUCCUGCAAUUAUCUUUAUCAACAGAUAUUUGGUUUUGAGUCCAGGCCUAGAGCAUUUACUUUAAGAUAUUCACAGAUAUCCAACGACAUAGAAUUACUACUUGCCCAAGUUGCUGCUCUGGUUUUAUCUCAAUCAAAGGAUUAUUAACUCCUUAUGACCCCUUUACCUCAGUUUACUGAUGAAUUUAGUUCCGGUCUCUCAAAGACAGCAGAAGGGAUAAAUAACUGCAGCCCAGAGAAAGACCCUCUAAACCCACAGUCAGAAUGACUGAUAACAGCAUGGCCCCAAACUGAUAAUUUAGAGUUUUGGGUCUCUUCUUUACUUAGAGCAGUAAUUCCAUCUCCAGACUUAGGCCCUUAAAAACUACAGUUUCUAGUGUAUGUGCUAUCUGAUCAAGAGCCAUCAGCUUCUCCCUGUUUACAUAGGUUGCCUGGUUACUUGGCAACCUCUGUACAUACUGGGAGAAAAGAAGUGGCAUGGCUAAUUUAAACAAUCCAUGCCCUAUUCAUAGUUUUACUGAAAAUAAACCUUUCUAACAAUCAAAAAAAUGUAGUGUAGUGUACUAACUUCCCCUCUAGAAUUCCCUGAUAAUCUAAUUCCUUUUUUCACUAACUUUCUGACAAUCUAAUUCCUUUUUCUACUUUCCCUUUUAAAGAGUUCAACAGAAGUGUACUAGCCACGAGAGAGAGAGAGAGAGAGAGAGAGAGAGAGAGAGAGAGAGAGAGAGAGAGAGAACCCUUAUCUGAUUUGCUAGAGGGCGAAAGAAUUCCAGCCCUGGAACCUGCUAAGGCUGAGAUUGGGAACAUUUUGUAAUAGGAGGUGGAGAAGAAUAAAGAAAUAAGGGCAGAACGUUGUGUAAUAAGAGAUAGAGAAUAAUAAAGUAGCAUAGGCAGAUGAUUCUCAUUGUGAGUAGACUUCCUUACCAUGCUAUUUUUGUCUUCCCCUUUAACUAUUAAUGGCAUCUUUAAUAAAACAAUGAAUAAAGCCUUAAAGGCUAAAACUUUUAAGGCUCAGGUUAAGUUUCCAUCUGUUUAAAGUGAUGUUGACUAUAUGCUUGCUGUAUAUUUAUUAUGUUGAUAUAUAUCUACUGUAUUCAGAUAAUCUCUGCAGGACUUCUAUCAUGAGGGGGUGUUCGAUUUUGUCAAAGGCCUCUCAUAUAUCUAUUGAAAUUAUUAUGUUGUUUUAGUCUUUUAGUUUGUUUAGGUGAUAGAUCAUAUUUAAUGACUCACAUAUAUCAAAACAUCCCUACGUCUCUGGGAUAAUGUCUACUUGAUAAUAAUGGGUGAUCUUUUGGAUGUGUUCUUGGAUUUGGUUUGCAAGCAUUUUCUUGAGUAUUUUGCAUCUAUGUUUGUAAGGGAAAUUGGUCUGUAAUUCUCCUUCUUUGUUGAGUCUUUCUGUGGUAUGCAUAUUAAAUUAACUGAAACCUCCUAAAAUGAA
Molecule: long non-coding RNA, 2035 nt
Organism: Microtus oregoni (creeping vole)
Lineage: Eukaryota; Metazoa; Chordata; Mammalia; Rodentia; Cricetidae
Exons: 3
Source: RefSeq, a predicted model, not a curated record